RNAcentral lists this unclassified non-coding RNA (205 nucleotides) under Hevea brasiliensis (rubber tree). The record is from RNAcentral. Lineage: Eukaryota; Viridiplantae; Streptophyta; Magnoliopsida; Malpighiales; Euphorbiaceae.
GGCAACAAAUAUUGUUUCUGAAUUUCUAGAGAGCGGCUUUAACUAUCCAAAUUGGAGUGCUUGCAUGAAGAAUUAUUUAAUGGCUAAUGAUCUCUGGGACAUUGUUGAAGCAACUACUGAAGCUCCAAAUCCAGAAGAGGCCGAAGCUGAAUUUAAGGCUUGGAGAAAGAAGAAUGCUGCUGCUUUACAUGCUAUUCAAAUAUCA